UGGGGAAUUUUUUCGCAAUGGGCGCAAGCCUGACGAAGCAACGCCGCGUGGAGGAUGAAGGCCUUCGGGUCGUAAACUCCUGUCGACCGGGACGAAUGCAGUCUGGGUCAAUAGCCCGGGCUGUUGACUGUACCGGUGGAGGAAGCCACGGCUAACUCUGUGCCAGCAGCCGCGGUAAUACAGAGGUGGCAAGCGUUGUUCGGAAUUACUGGGCGUAAAGGGCGCGUAGGCGGUUCGAUAAGUCCCGUGUGAAAGCCCCCGGCUCAACUGGGGAACUGCACGGGAAACUGACGGACUUGAGUUCGGGAGAGGGAAGCGGAAUUCCGGGUGUAGCGGUGAAAUGCGUAGAUAUCCGGAGGAACACCGGUGGCGAAGGCGGCUUCCUGGACCGACACUGACGCUGAGGCGCGAAAGCUAGGGGAGCAAACGGGAUUAGAUACCCCGGUAGUCCCUAGCUGUAAACGAUGAGCGCUGGGUGUAGGGGGUGUUAACCCCUCUGUGCCGAAGCUAACGCAUUAA
Molecule: ribosomal RNA, 519 nt
Filed under: uncultured Acidobacteriota bacterium
Lineage: Bacteria; Pseudomonadati; Acidobacteriota
Description: bacterial SSU rRNA
Rfam family: Bacterial small subunit ribosomal RNA
Source: RNAcentral